UACGUAGGCAGCAAGCGUUGUUCGGAAUUACUGGGCGUAAAGGGUGCGUAGGCGGCUUUUUAAGUUUGGUGUGAAAUCUCCCGGCUCAACUGGGAGGGUGCGCCGAAUACUGAGAAGCUAGAGUGUGGGAGAGGAAAGUGGAAUUCCUGGUGUAGCGGUGAAAUGCGUAGAUAUCAGGAGGAACACCGGUGGUGUAAACGGCUUUCUGGACCAUAACUGACGCUGGAGGCACGAAAGCGUGGGUAGCAAACAGG
RNAcentral lists this ribosomal RNA (254 nucleotides) under uncultured bacterium. Its description in RNAcentral is "partial 16S ribosomal RNA". It matches the Rfam family "Bacterial small subunit ribosomal RNA", at positions 524 to 776 of the family's 1533-position model. The record is from RNAcentral.